This is a long non-coding RNA of Cyanistes caeruleus (blue tit), 639 nucleotides long. RefSeq lists it as uncharacterized. NCBI's taxonomy places the organism in Eukaryota, Metazoa, Chordata, Aves, Passeriformes, Paridae. The record is from RefSeq and is a predicted model, not a curated record.
GGCAGCAAGCGAUUCUCUGUGACCUCUGCUUCCUCUGCCAGGAGAGCUUGCAUUGUGCAGCCAUGAACACAUAAUUCACUGGCACCCACCGGGGAAAUGCCCUGCUGGCACUGCACAGACAUCCUCAGCCCAAGGAAAUGAGGAAGCAGAAGAGCUGAGUCACCCCUCCAGAAGACAUUUCCCACCAGAGAUGUUCUGCCAUGUGAUCCUGGUAUUGAUCCUGGUAUCUCUUGUCACUGGAGGAGCUCCUGUGUCACUCCCAGGCCUGGGUGAGGGUGACAUUCCUCCAGUGGCAUUGCUACAGCAAAGGCAAACUCACCACUCAGUGUAUGCUGCAGAACAAGUAAAUCCUCUCUGUUUGGAAGCAUCCCUGUCUGCACUGAGACCUUGCCUUUGGAAGGUGAUAAUGUGAAAAACAUCCUGUGACGUUUUUGCAUUUGUUCUCUGGGAGCCAUCCAUCAUUUCUAGCACCGUGACUUCUGGGUGACUCCUCUGUGCUUCUCCCUGCCACCGUGUGCCAGCUUUGUGCCAAUAAUCUUGGAUGACAGUUAUGGAGGUCUAAAUUCAUCCCUCAUUUUUGUUAUAUAUUGCCUGUGAUUUAAAGCCACUUAAAUAUAUAUUGCCUGUGAUAUAAAGUCA